CCUACGGGUGGCAGCAGUGAGGAAUAUUGGUCAAUGGGCGGGAGCCUGAACCAGCCAAGCCGCGUGAGGGAAGAAGGUCCAGCGUAUCGUAAACCUCUUUUGCCAGGGAACAAAGGCGGGGACUAGUCCCCCGAUGAGUGUACCUUACGAACAAGCAUCGGCUAACCCCGUGCCAGCCGCCGCGGUACUAGGGGGGAUGCGAGCGUUAGCGGGAUUUAUGGGGUUUAAGGGGUGCGCGGCGGGCCGGUUAGGUCAGCGCGAAAAGCCCGGGGCUAAACCCCGGCGAGCCGUUGAAACUGGCGGGCUGGAGUGGGAGAGAGGUACGCGGAAUGCGCGGUGUAGCGGUGAAAUGCGUAGAUAUCGGGCAGAACCCC
This 374-nucleotide ribosomal RNA is filed under the name uncultured bacterium. RNAcentral's name for it is "partial 16S ribosomal RNA". It matches the Rfam family "Bacterial small subunit ribosomal RNA", at positions 338 to 710 of the family's 1533-position model. The record is from RNAcentral.